CUAUGCUGUAAAGGACGCUGCUAUAAAUAUCGCAGAGUCGGGGAUAGCAUUUGUAAGAAAUCAAAUAGUUUUAUAUUAAUACCUUCAUCAAGACAUUUCAAUAGACUAGUUACAAACACCCCAACUCAAAUGUCAUCUCUUCAGAAGGGUAUCUCAGCAUCCCUCACCCCAGUCGCAUCCCAUUACCUUAUUUUGUGUUUUUUAAAGCCGUUUUCAGUACCUGAAUUCAUCUUAUCUAUUUAUUUGUGUCCAUGUGUAUUAUCUCCCUCCCCUCCCACUGGAAGAUAAGAUCCUUGAGGCCAGUAACUCUUGCUGUAUCCCUAUGCGCUCAAUAAUUAAUAACUGACCGGCCAGCAUCAGGACCUGGUGAAAUGGAGUAUGCGCCAUCCUGAGACGCUCCACCAGCAGCAGCGGGAUGUGAUAGUUAGGAUCAAAGAUAUUAAGAUGUCACAUUUACUGUUGCUGCCAUGACUGAAGCCGAAAAGCAGCACAGAACCGUGCGGAGGGUGGGCCCUGACUUGGACCUGCCUCUAAGGAAGGGGUGAGCCUGGACUGCUGAGUGGGGGUGUAGGAGCUGCCUCUGUGUCUGCACCUUUAGCAGCCCUCUAGCCCAUCUCUGACUUCAGCCACGGCUGUGGUAGGCAGUUUCACUCUGCUUUUGCUGCUGGUGUUCCACCUGCAGACUCAUGCCACUUGUCUUUCUCCAUUCCACACUCAGACCUUCUCCCAAUGCCCGGAAGCUUUCUGGGCUGGCUUGCAAGCCCAGCUCAGAAGUGCAGAGGAGUUAAUACCCUAUAGGCAACCCUCAACCAACACAGAACGGUGGCUGAUGGACAAAUGCUCCAGCCUCCAGUCCAACAGGUGGACACUUUCGGGAGAUAUUCUGCACACUUCUCAGAGGUCCUGGUGGAAUUGAACUCCCACCGCUGACAGUAGUGACCUCAACAAUGCAUCCAUAGAUGAACUCUCCCCUUCUCUGUCUCACUCCCCCUGUCCCUUCACUCCUGCUUCCUGGGAUCACCUGUACCAAGUCUUGUCUCAGGCUCUGCUUUGGGGGACACUACAGUCUGGGAAAUGUUUGAUGUGGACACAAGCAGGACUAAUGGUGGAACUUCUAAGUUAGCCUCCCUCCUGCAUGUGGGAUGCCUUGAAGAAAGCUGCAGCGUAGAUGAAAAGGAAACGCUAUACCGUCUAACAGCUGGGACACCGGAGACCACGCGGUUCUGCUGCAGGCCCCAUAACCACCGAGGACACUAUGAGAAGCAGCACCCUUCCUCGAGCUCUGAGAAAGCACCCCUGCUUGGACCGACUGAGACCUGUGUCAGCGACAGCUGGGGCGGUGUGGGUGACAGGACUACCAGAACAGGGUGAUCCUGUCAGAGCCCCUCUCUUCAGGACUGCCAUGCCUUCAGCACAGCUCUCAGCAGCUCCAGCUCUCCACUAACAGCCAAUGGAGCGCCGACCAACACCUGGCAAGUGAAUCUGGCUGCGGGGACAUCCCUAAGGUCCCCUCCCCCAGCAGGUGUCCACAGAGCAACGCUGAGUAGGACUGAUUCCUGGGCAAAUGUAAGCAACCCUGGAAUAUUUGAAGGUAGAAUUAUUGAAAAAUAUUUGACCAAGACAAGGAUUGGACUUUGUGCUAAUUUGACACCUAGCAGAUCAGAGCUGUAAUUGAGGCUUAAAAAGAAACGUGAACCCAUUUUAUCAUCACAAGUUGGUAAAGUCAGGAAUGUAUUUUACAACCACUUUAUCAACAUUUACUCCAACAUUUCCCAAAACUCAUUCAUUUGCCUAGUAUCUAACAACUUACUAUCUGUACUAUUCGUUACUUAAUAUUUUUCUUUAAACCAAAACACUUUUUCAAACUUAAAUAUCCAAGUAAGCUUCAUACUGAAUGAAAAUAAAUGUGGAAUUAUGGAUCUG
Long non-coding RNA from Equus asinus (donkey), 1923 nucleotides. Lineage: Eukaryota; Metazoa; Chordata; Mammalia; Perissodactyla; Equidae. The record is from Ensembl.